RNAcentral lists this unclassified non-coding RNA (369 nucleotides) under Hevea brasiliensis (rubber tree). Lineage: Eukaryota; Viridiplantae; Streptophyta; Magnoliopsida; Malpighiales; Euphorbiaceae. The record is from RNAcentral.
AAGAAAAAAAAAAGAGACCAUGUUACAGAUCUUGACACCAAGGACUUGGCAAGCUAUGAAGUUCUCAGAAGAAGAAUUUGAGCUAAGAACAGCAAUGCAUUGCUGGGGUUAAAAUUAUAUUUGAGCCGACUCUCGGAGAGUUAUUAUUCAGAGCUUGCACAGAAGUGAAAAAAUAAAGGCACCAAAAAAACCAUUUCUUCUAGGUAAGUCAUCAUUAAGUCAACUCAAGAUGUGUUUCAAGGUAGAAGCAACCCCUCUUGCAUUAUUCAGAUCCAAUUUAGUCUGGGGUGGGCCUAUCAGUGUGAGGUCGGUCACAUCAACAAGGACUAGGAAUAUUUGUUAACCAAAAAAAAAAAAACCUUGGUAAGA